Molecule: long non-coding RNA, 367 nt
Organism: Morus notabilis
Lineage: Eukaryota; Viridiplantae; Streptophyta; Magnoliopsida; Rosales; Moraceae
Exons: 4
Source: RefSeq, a predicted model, not a curated record
AUCAUUCAAUUAUUGACGAUUGCGAAUUAUGGCUGAUUAUAACAAGACAUGAGUUGAUGCCAAGUUGAAUUGCACGAAGGGUAGGGCGGUCUUGGUCGUGAGAAAGAAUCUGGCAACUUCAUUUUGGAGGACGAGAGACCAUUUCGACCACCGCUGCAUGACUUCAAUCUCAUAUAAUCGAGCAAGGGGACAAUUGAAAAAUGGAGGGAGAUCAAUCACAUCUUUGUUGUUGUUCCUAAGCUCUCUCCUUCACAGGCCAAGCAAUAUUGUCCCCACGAGAGACUGUUGUUUCAAUUGAGUGUUGUAGUUUCAGUGGAGAAUUGUGUGGCAAGAUGUGAUUGGUUGCUAUGGCCCAAUCUUUGCUGUA